AACGAACGCUGGCGGCAUGCCUAACACAUGCAAGUCGAACGAGACCUUCGGGUCUAGUGGCGCACGGGUGCGUAACGCGUGGGAACCUGCACUUAGGUUCGGAAUAACUCCCCGAAAGGGGUGCUAAUACCGGAUAAUGUCUUCGGACCAAAGAUUUAUCGCCUUUGGAUGGGCCAGCGUUGGAUUAGCUAGUUGGUAGGGUAAAAGCCUACCAAGGCGACGAUCCAUAGCUGGUCUGAGAGGAUGAUCAGCCACACUGGGACUGAGACACGGCCCAGACUCCUACGGGAGGCAGCAGUGGGGAAUAUUGGACAAUGGGCGAAAGCCUGAUCCAGCAAUGCCGCGUGAGUGAUGAAGGCCUUAGGGUUGUAAAGCUCUUUUACCCGGGAUGAUAAUGACAGUACCGGGAGAAUAAGCUCCGGCUAACUCCGUG
This 433-nucleotide ribosomal RNA is filed under the name uncultured bacterium. Its description in RNAcentral is "partial 16S ribosomal RNA". It matches the Rfam family "Bacterial small subunit ribosomal RNA", at positions 29 to 507 of the family's 1533-position model. The record is from RNAcentral.